This 753-nucleotide ribosomal RNA is filed under the name Microcaldota archaeon. RNAcentral describes it as "bacterial SSU rRNA". It matches the Rfam family "Archaeal small subunit ribosomal RNA", at positions 726 to 1478 of the family's 1478-position model. Lineage: Archaea; Nanobdellati; Microcaldota. The record is from RNAcentral.
GGAUUAGAUACCCCGGUAGUCCCAGCUGUAAAUAAUGCGGACUGUGGUGUUGCUUCAGAGUUAAUCUGCAGCAGUGCUGUAGCGUAGGUGUUAAGUCCGCCGCCUGGGGAGUACGGCCGCAAGGUUGAAACUUAAAGGAAUUGGCGGGGGAGCACCACAAGGGGUGGAUGCUACGGUUUAAUUGGAUACAACGCCGUGAACUUCACCAAGGGCGACGGCAGAAUGAAGGUCAGACUAAAGAUCUUGCCUAACAAGCCGAGAGGUGUUGCAUGGCCAUCGUCAGCUCGUGGCGUGAGUUGUCUGGUUAAGUCCAGCAACGAGCGAGACCCAUACCAUUAAUUGCUACUUUUACCUUUAGUAAGAGGCACCUUAAUGGGACUGCCCGCGUUAAGUGGGAGGAAGGAGUGGGCGACGGUAGGUCAGUAUGGCCCGAAUCCCUUGGGCUACACGCGGCAUACAAUGGCUGGAACAAUGGGUUGCUACUCCGAGAGGAGGCGCUAAUCCCCUAAAUCCAGUCUUAGUUCGGAUUGAGGGUUGAAACUCACCCUCAUGAAGCUGGAAUCCCUAGUAAUCGCGUGUCAUCAUCGCGCGGUGAAUACGUCCCCGCUCCUUGCACACACCGCCCGUCAAGUCACCCAAAUGUGGUGUAGGUGAGGCUCCGGUUUCUGCCGGAUUCGAACCUAUGUUGCGUGAGGGGGGCUAAGUCGUAACAAGGUAUCCGUAGGGGAACCUGCGGAUAGAUCACCUCCAAAU